This 401-nucleotide ribosomal RNA is filed under the name uncultured bacterium. Its description in RNAcentral is "bacterial SSU rRNA". It matches the Rfam family "Bacterial small subunit ribosomal RNA", at positions 362 to 775 of the family's 1533-position model. The record is from RNAcentral.
UAUUGCACAAUGGGCGCAAGCCUGAUGCAGCAACGCCGCGUGAGGGAUGACGGCCUUCGGUGUGUAAACCUCUUUUAGUAGGGAAGAAGCGAAAGUGACGGUACCUGCAGACAAAGCACCGGCUAACUACGUGCCAGCAGCCGCGGUAAUACGUAGGGUGCAAGCGUUGUCCGGAAUUAUUGGGCGUAAAGAGCUCGUAGGCGGUUUGUCGCGUCUGCUGUGAAAUCCCGAGGCUCAACCUCGGGCCUGCAGUGGGUACGGGCAGACUAGAGUGCGGUAGGGGAGAAUGGAACUCCUGGUGUAGAGGUGGAAUGCGCAGAUAUCAGGAAGAACACCGAUGGCGAAGGCAGUUCUCUGGGCCGUAACUGACGCUGAGGAGCGAAAGCGUGGGGAGCGAACAG